RNAcentral lists this long non-coding RNA (1796 nucleotides) under Homo sapiens (human). RNAcentral's name for it is "HSALNT0333953". Lineage: Eukaryota; Metazoa; Chordata; Mammalia; Primates; Hominidae. The record is from RNAcentral.
GCAGGGAGGUCAGGCGCAGACCGCGCGCAAUCAAUGGAUCAAUGCAAGCUCCGCUCGGCUCCAGACCAAACAGCACCGGGCUCCGACUCGUCCUCGCUCCCCUAGGAAAGAGUCGGGGAGCGAGGGUGCGUCCCCGCGCUCGCUCGCGAGGACGGCCGUGCGGCGCCAGGUUUGAACGCACACCUCCACCCGAGACAAAGAGGGUGCGAGGUGUUGGGGAGGCUGGGGCAGACGUGGACACACGGACACACGGGCACUCGGGCGUGUCCACCGACACAGCCUGACAGGGGACAUAGGACCUCGGAACACACCGCCUCCGACACCAGGCCGAGUAACAACCUCUCAACUUUUACACCUACCACACCCCCAACCUCAAGACUCAGUCCCCAUUCCUAGAUGCGAGUCCACUUUGAGGACCAAAAAGAAAGUAGCCUCCGCCUGCUAAAACUGCCAGCUCCAGGGCAGACUCCCUUGCAGUUAAGGCCUUGGAGGGAAAGAGGAAAGACCUCUUGAAAGGCUAUGAAGACUUUCUUGGAGUGUGAGGCUGUGUUCAGAAUGAGACCAGGCCAGGUCCAGUUUUCUACAGGGAAGAUGCUGCUAGGACCCAGACUAGCCUCACAGAGCCCUCAGCGUACCCAGGAGGAAGAGGCAAUGACCAAGAUCUCCUCAAAGAACGUAAGCUCCAUCAGAGCAGGGACCAUGUCUGGCUUGUUCACUAUCGUGUCCUCAUCAUCUCCUGUACUGCCUGCCACAUGAACCAGCUCUGUGAUCCUAAGUGAAGUCAAGGGACUGACCGGACACAUGAACCUAGAUCUCUGCAAAGAGCCCUGGGACCCAAAUGGGAGAGGUCCAGGGCCUGGUUCCAUCAUCCCUCCCUCUCUUGAUGUGUGGCCUUGCUCAAGGCGUUGGACUGCAGUGGACCUCCAUGUCCUUCUUUUGGAAAACAGAGUUAACAAUACCUGCCCCAUUCAGAGGAGAAAUGAGGUCAUGUUUGUGCAGCACAGUGAGCUCACUGGAGACAAUGAGUGUAUUCUUCUUAACAGUAACAAUAAUAAUCAUUACUGAAAAUCUAACCAGUAAAUAUAUCUCCUCAAAGCUGGAGUUGGCCCCUCAGUAGGAUAGCAAUUAAAGUUUUUUUAAAAAUCUCUAGAUGGGGAAAUUUUCUGGCUGCAUUUUGAUCUCUGGGGUUUGCAGAGUUGAUAUCAUUGUGGGAGGGAGAGAGGCCUGCAGCAAUCAUUCAUCUCAAUUCCAUUCAAUUGUACUUUUUGUAUCUCCCUUGUCCUUGAGUUCUAUCCACUGGGCUUUGCAAUUUCUCAUCCUCUAUUAGUCCUGAGGGAAAGAAGUCCCUAAAUUCCGCAUCUCCACACUCACCCGCUGUCCCAUUCACUGACAUAAACAGUGACCUGGCUACUGGAGAUCCUGGGCAUUCGAGCAUUGGCCACAAACUAUCCUGCAAAGAAAGUGGUCUGUCUUGGGUACAUGAUUCUCUUUCCUGCUCAUCCCACUUAGUGGGCCAGUGAUUCCCAAGCCGAGCUGUGCAUUCAAAGCCCCCAGGAGUGGGUCCAUGGAUUAUCAGGUGAUUCUAAUUUAGCCAGCCUAGCACCUGUCUGAAUUUGAGAAUUGCAAGGUUUUCAACCAUUAGUUGUUAAAUGUGUGUACAAGGAGCAGAGUGAUGCUAAUACAAAGGCAUUGUUGCAGUUUGGGUCAAGCUGGCAAAAGACCGUCUCUCCUGCUACAAUACACAAAAUGACAGAAAAACUCUUGGAACAAAUAAAAUAGUAAAUCCAAUAUCGUGU